CCUACGGGAGGCAGCAGUGGGGAAUAUUGCGCAAUGGGCGAAAGCCUGACGCAGCGACGCCGCGUGAGGGAUGAAGGUCUUCGGAUCGUAAACCUCUGUCAGCAGGGAAGCACGGUCACUGUGCUAAUCAGCAGUGAAUUGACGGUACCUGCAAAGGAAGCACCGGCUAACUCCGUGCCAGCAGCCGCGGUAAUACGGAGGGUGCGAGCGUUAAUCGGAAUUACUGGGCGUAAAGCGCUCGUAGGCGGUAUGUCAAGUCAAGGGUGAAAUCCCCGCGCUCAACGUGGGAACUGCCUUUGAAACUGGCAAACUGGAGUGUGUGAGAGGAUAGUGGAAUUCCAGGUGUAGGAGUGAAAUGCGUAGAUAUCUGGAGGAACAUCAGUGGCGAAGGCGACUAUCUGGCACAUAACUGACGCUGAGGAGCGAAAGCGUGGGUAGCAAACAGGAUUAGAUACCCCAGUAGUC
RNAcentral lists this ribosomal RNA (465 nucleotides) under uncultured bacterium. RNAcentral describes it as "partial 16S ribosomal RNA". It matches the Rfam family "Bacterial small subunit ribosomal RNA", at positions 338 to 795 of the family's 1533-position model. The record is from RNAcentral.